RNAcentral lists this ribosomal RNA (253 nucleotides) under uncultured bacterium. Its description in RNAcentral is "partial 16S ribosomal RNA". It matches the Rfam family "Bacterial small subunit ribosomal RNA", at positions 524 to 776 of the family's 1533-position model. The record is from RNAcentral.
UACAGAGGUCUCAAGCGUUGUUCGGAUUCAUUGGGCGUAAAGGGUGCGUAGGCGGCGCGGUAAGUCGGGUGUGAAAUCUCGGAGCUUAACUUCGAAACUGCAUUCGAUACUGCCGUGCUUGAGGACUGGAGAGGAGACUGGAAUUCCUGGUGUAGCGGUGAAAUGCGCAGAUAUCAGGAGGAACACCAAUGGCGAAGGCAGCUCGCUGGAACGGAACUGACGCUGAGGCGCGAAAGCGUGGGGAGCGAACAGG